This 112-nucleotide non-coding RNA is filed under the name Edaphobacillus lindanitolerans. RNAcentral's name for it is "SAM-I sequence". It matches the Rfam family "SAM riboswitch aptamer (S box leader)". From Rfam's summary of the family: The SAM riboswitch is found upstream of a number of genes which code for proteins involved in methionine or cysteine biosynthesis in Gram-positive bacteria. The record is from RNAcentral. Lineage: Bacteria; Bacillati; Bacillota; Bacilli; Caryophanales; Bacillaceae.
CUCUUAUCCCGAGCUGGUGGAGGGACAGGCCCUGUGAAACCCGGCAACCUGCCGUCUUUUGGCGGAAAAGGUGCCAACCUGAAGCAAGGUGAUGAACCUUGGACGAUAAGAG